This 253-nucleotide ribosomal RNA is filed under the name uncultured bacterium. Its description in RNAcentral is "partial 16S ribosomal RNA". It matches the Rfam family "Bacterial small subunit ribosomal RNA", at positions 524 to 776 of the family's 1533-position model. The record is from RNAcentral.
UACAGAGGGUGCGAGCGUUAAUCGGAAUUACUGGGCGUAAAGCGUGCGCAGACGGUCAUGUAAGUCGGGUGUGAAAGCCCCGGGCUCAACCUGGGAAUUGCAUUCGAGACUGCAUGGCUAGGGUGCGGAAGAGGGAAGCGGAAUUUCCGGUGUAGCGGUGAAAUGCGUAGAUAUCGGAAGGAACACCAGUGGCGAAAGCGGCUUCCUGGUCCAGCACAGACGUUCAGGCACGAAAGCGUGGGGAGCAAACAGG